This is a non-coding RNA of Desulfotomaculum sp. 46_296, 168 nucleotides long. NCBI's taxonomy places the organism in Bacteria, Bacillati, Bacillota, Clostridia, Eubacteriales, Desulfotomaculaceae. The record is from Rfam.
CCGUGCUAGAUGGGGAGGUAGCGGUGCCCUGAACCCGCAACCCGCUAUAGCGGGGUUGAAUUCCUGCCGGAGGGUAUGACUUGUGGGGUCCGGCCUGUUUACGAGGAGCGAUGACGGUUGGGUCUUGCGCGGCGGAGACUUUUGAACCGUGUCAGGUCUUGACGGAAG